GAUCAUUUCCAUAUACCCUUACCAAAUUACAGGGUUAUCAUAUAAAUAACAAUAAAAAUUAUGAAAAAGAGUAGCGAGAUUAAAUAUGAAUGCAUAAAAAUUGGGAGGGGACACCUUGGGAGUGAAGGAUCCCAGCUCCAGGUCAGACCGCACAGCCCAGGGCUCCAGCUCCAGGAAGAUAAAUCCCCAUAACUUCUGGCCACAAAAACCAGUGGGGGGUGAGGUGGCAAAAGAAA
This is a long non-coding RNA of Phyllostomus discolor (pale spear-nosed bat), 236 nucleotides long. RefSeq lists it as uncharacterized. The transcript is spliced from 3 exons. Lineage: Eukaryota; Metazoa; Chordata; Mammalia; Chiroptera; Phyllostomidae. The record is from RefSeq and is a predicted model, not a curated record.